UGAACGCUGGCGGCGUGCUUAACACAUGCAAGUCGAACGAGAACGGUCCUUCGGGAUGUCAGCUAAGUGGCGGACGGGUGAGUAAUGUAUCGGAACGUGCCUAGUAGCGGGGGAUAACUACGCGAAAGCGUAGCUAAUACCGCAUACGCCCUACGGGGGAAAGCAGGGGAUCGCAAGACCUUGCACUAUUAGAGCGGCCGAUAUCGGAUUAGCUAGUUGGUGGGGUAACGGCUCACCAAGGCGACGAUCCGUAGCUGGUUUGAGAGGACGACCAGCCACACUGGGACUGAGACACGGCCCAGACUCCUACGGGAGGCAGCAGUGGGGAAUUUUGGACAAUGGGGGAAACCCUGAUCCAGCCAUCCCGCGUGUGCGAUGAAGGCCUUCGGGUUGUAAAGCACUUUUGGCAGGAAAGAAACGUCAUGGGUUAAUACCCCGUGAAACUGACGGUACCUGCAGAAUAAGCACCGGCUAACUAC
RNAcentral lists this ribosomal RNA (479 nucleotides) under uncultured bacterium. RNAcentral describes it as "bacterial SSU rRNA". It matches the Rfam family "Bacterial small subunit ribosomal RNA", at positions 30 to 504 of the family's 1533-position model. The record is from RNAcentral.